RNAcentral lists this ribosomal RNA (463 nucleotides) under uncultured bacterium. RNAcentral's name for it is "partial 16S ribosomal RNA". It matches the Rfam family "Bacterial small subunit ribosomal RNA", at positions 28 to 507 of the family's 1533-position model. The record is from RNAcentral.
GACGAACGCUGGCGGCGUGCUUAACACAUGCAAGUCGAACGGAAAGGCCCUGCUUUUGUGGGGUGCUCGAGUGGCGAACGGGUGAGUAACACGUGAGUAACCUGCCCUUGACUUUGGGAUAACUUCAGGAAACUGGGGCUAAUACCGGAUAGGAGCUCCUGCUGCAUGGUGGGGGUUGGAAAGUUUCGGCGGUUGGGGAUGGACUCGCGGCUUAUCAGCUUGUUGGUGGGGUAGUGGCUUACCAAGGCUUUGACGGGUAGCCGGUCGGAGAGGGUGACCGGGGACACUGGGAGUGAGGCAGGGCCGAGUCUGCCACGGGAGGCAGCAGUGGGGGAUAGUGGACAUUGGGCGAAAGACUGGUCCAGCAAUGCCGCGUGAGUGAUGAAGGCGUUAGGGUUGUAAAGCUCUUUUACCCGGGAGGAUAAUGACAGUACCGGGCGAAGAAGCUCCGGCUAACUCCGUG